ACUCCUACGGGAGGCAGCAGUGAGGAAUCUUGCGCAAUGGGAAGGCCAUCGACGCAGCGAGCGCCGCGUGGGAGGAUGAAGGUUCUAGGAUCGUAAACUCCUGUUAAGCGGGAAGAAAGCAUUGGCUUAAUACUCCAAUGUCAUGACGGUACCGCUAGAGAAAGCACCGGCUAACUUCGUGCCAGCAGCCGCGGUAAUACGAGGGGUGCAAACGUUAUUCGGAUUUAUUGGGCGUAAAGGGUGCGUAGGUGGUAUUGUAAGUCUGUUGUUAAAUUUUCCGGCCUAACCGGAAGUCAGCGAUGGAUACUGCUUUACUAGAGGAUGGAAGAGAGAAGUGGAAUUCUUGGAGUAGCGGUAAAAUGCGUAGAUCUCAAGAGGAACACCAAUGGCGAAGGCAGCUUCUUGGUCCAAUCCUGACACUGAGGCACGAAAGCGUGGGGA
This 441-nucleotide ribosomal RNA is filed under the name uncultured bacterium. RNAcentral describes it as "bacterial SSU rRNA". It matches the Rfam family "Bacterial small subunit ribosomal RNA", at positions 335 to 767 of the family's 1533-position model. The record is from RNAcentral.